AGGUUGGUGCAAAAGUAAUUAGUUUUUGCCAUUACUUUCAGUGACAAAAAACUGUAAUUACUUUUGUACCAACCUAAUA
Molecule: microRNA precursor, 79 nt
Filed under: Cercocebus atys (sooty mangabey)
Lineage: Eukaryota; Metazoa; Chordata; Mammalia; Primates; Cercopithecidae
Description: miRNA (ENSCATG00000018015.1)
Source: RNAcentral